UUCUUUACAAGGGAGAAACCUGAUCAGGAAGGUGGAUUUUCUCAAAGUGAGGUUUAUCCAUUGCAUUCCAGAAGUGCUGACUAUGAUGUCCCCAAAUGUGGAACAUUCACUGCAUAACUUGUGGUAGUAGGGGACUAUGUUCACAGAUUCUCAAA
RNAcentral lists this small nuclear RNA (155 nucleotides) under Sorex araneus (European shrew). Its description in RNAcentral is "U1 spliceosomal RNA (ENSSARG00000015819.1)". It matches the Rfam family "U1 spliceosomal RNA". Rfam says of the family: U1 is a small nuclear RNA (snRNA) component of the spliceosome (involved in pre-mRNA splicing). Its 5' end forms complementary base pairs with the 5' splice junction, thus defining the 5' donor site of an intron. Lineage: Eukaryota; Metazoa; Chordata; Mammalia; Eulipotyphla; Soricidae. The record is from RNAcentral.